UUGUGCAGGCCUGACAUAUAGCCUAAAAUUGGAAUGAUACAGGUAUUAGUAUGGCCCCUGCCCAAGGAUCACACAAACACACACGCAUUUACACACAUAUAC
Molecule: small nuclear RNA, 102 nt
Filed under: Phascolarctos cinereus (koala)
Lineage: Eukaryota; Metazoa; Chordata; Mammalia; Diprotodontia; Phascolarctidae
Source: RNAcentral